CCUAUUCAGAAGCCGACUUAACCUAAACCAGCCGCUUAUAGACCUGCUGCUCCAGCCGGGAUUUCUAUCCAUCUGACACACUCACCUGCUUCUGAUUCCACCUUACAUGCCUGACAUGCUGCCACCACCGCGAGCAUUUCUGCCGGAGUAAGCCAGCGAGGGUCCGACAUUACAACAGCCGCACGCCGCAGCAACGGACCUCCAGCGUGGGAGCCAUCUGCUAUAUCACCGCUCCCAAACCAAGCCGAAAUCAACGCUCUGCUUGUGAAGUAGAACUGCUUCUCCCAUCAUUUUCGGCCCGUCGCAGUACGGGACCAGCGGACACGAAACGAUACACGUCUGGAAUGAAUCGUCACAGCGGUCCGAGCCAGAUGGAAAAAAAGAAUAAAAGAAGACAACUCUAAUGAGAGAAGAUAUUGCCUUUGCUGCUCAGUUGGGAGGCUCUUUAGGAGGCGCUGGAGGAGGCCUUGGAGGAAACCUUGGAGGAGGCGCUGGAGGCCUUGGAGGAGCCGCUGGAGGAGGCCUUGGAGGAGGCACUGGAGGCCUUGGAGGAGCCGCUGGAAACGUGGGUGGAGGUGUUCAUGUAAGAAGUGCAGAAAUUGGCAACGUUGGAGGUCUUUUGGGUGAUGUUGUUGACAAAGUUGGCAAAUUACUUGGCGGUGGCGGUGGCGGUGUCCUAUGAUCUUCCUCUCUGUGCAGGCUCCACAAUGGAUUCCUGACCAGGACCGGCCGAGUCCUCACAAUGAAUUUCCCCCCUAAUGAUUUAGUUUCCUCUCCUUUUAUGAUUCUUUAUAUUCUCUCUCUAUGAUUUCUCUUCUUUCUAUGUCUCACAACCAAUAAAGUA
RNA transcript from Hyla sarda, 844 nucleotides. RefSeq lists it as uncharacterized. The record is from RefSeq and is a predicted model, not a curated record. The transcript has 5 exons. NCBI's taxonomy places the organism in Eukaryota, Metazoa, Chordata, Amphibia, Anura, Hylidae.